GCCAGGUGUGGUGGUGCACGCCUGUAAUCCCAGCUACUCAGGAGGCUGAGGCAGGAGAAUCGCUUGAACCCAGGAGGUGGAGCUUGCAGUGAGCCGAGAUCGCGCCACUGCACUCCAGUCUGGGUGACAGAGCGAGACUCCGUCUCAU
RNAcentral lists this non-coding RNA (148 nucleotides) under Nomascus leucogenys (northern white-cheeked gibbon). Lineage: Eukaryota; Metazoa; Chordata; Mammalia; Primates; Hylobatidae. The record is from Rfam by way of RNAcentral.